GCCCAUCCUCGACAACGAUGUUGUAGUAUUGUCUGAGUGCCGUUUGUGGUUUUAGCCUCCGUCCGGUUGAAGGGGCCUUAAUCUGCGACGGGCAUAGGGCCCUACCGCCGGAGGGGGUUCCCGGCUCUCACCCGCGGUGCCCGCUCCCUCCCGGGCCCUACGGGGUGCAGCAGGCGCGAAACCUCCCGCAAUGUGAGAAAUCGCGACGGGGGGGAUCCCAAGUGCCAUUCUUAACGGGAUGGCUUUUCUUUAGUGUAAAAAGCUUUUGGAAUAAGAGCUGGGCAAGACCGGUGCCAGCCGCCGCGGUAACACCGGCAGCUCUAGUGGUAGCAAUUUUUAUUGGGCCUAAAGCGUCCGUAGCCGGUUUAAUAAGUCUCUGGUGAAAUCCUGUAGCUUAACUGUGGGAAUUGCUGGAGAUACUAUUAGACUUGAGACCGGGAGAGGUUAGAGGUACUCCCAGGGUAGAGGUGAAAUUCUGUAAUCCUGGGAGGACCGCCUGUUGCGAAGGCGUCUAACUGGAACGGUUCUGACGGUGAGGGACGAAAGUUAGGGGCGCGAACCGGAUUAGAUACCCGGGUAGUCCUAACUGUAAACGAUGCGGACUUGGUGUUGGGGUGGCUUUGAGAGCUUCAGUGCCGAAAAGAAGCUGUUGAAACAACCGCCU
Molecule: ribosomal RNA, 664 nt
Filed under: Methanobrevibacter sp.
Lineage: Archaea; Methanobacteriati; Methanobacteriota; Methanobacteria; Methanobacteriales; Methanobacteriaceae
Description: bacterial SSU rRNA
Rfam family: Archaeal small subunit ribosomal RNA
Source: RNAcentral